AGGGGUUGGUCUUUAAUGCAGUGGCGCCAUUAUGUUGAUUUAGUUUAUAUGCCACAUGGUUUUUAUUACAGUGGCAGUAUCAGAUGGAUCUCGGGGUGCAGGAAAGAAGGGGGUGGUCUUUAAUGCAAAAUGGGGUUAUUACGACUUUGAAAUUCUUAUUACAAGCGGCCUAACUCAGAAUUGCUUGAGUUGAGUUGGGAUCGGAAGGUGGACGAUUCUAGUUUGAAGAACUCCGGAAUUGCCUUGAUGCUCUAGUUUUUUAUGUGAAUAAAUUGUAGCCCUAUUGGACUUGGGAAUUGCCCGACUCUGGCCACGUGAAUCAGAAAUGAGCCAGUCGCGAUUCAAGGCAUGAUUCAAGGUUUUCAACCACAAACUUUGUUGUUCAAACCCAAAAUGACAUCGAUCCCCAGUUUCUAAUAACAUUGGGCAAGAAUUUAUUUUA
This 442-nucleotide long non-coding RNA is filed under the name Amborella trichopoda. RNAcentral describes it as "long non-coding RNA (ATRI_LNC000218)". The record is from RNAcentral. Lineage: Eukaryota; Viridiplantae; Streptophyta; Magnoliopsida; Amborellales; Amborellaceae.